Non-coding RNA from Sesamum indicum (sesame), 3347 nucleotides. NCBI's taxonomy places the organism in Eukaryota, Viridiplantae, Streptophyta, Magnoliopsida, Lamiales, Pedaliaceae. The record is from RefSeq and is a predicted model, not a curated record.
AUAUAAUUGAGCUUUUGUUUUUUUAUGAGUUGGGGGGGGUUAUGAGGGGAUAAAAUCAGAAAAGAGAGACACACGCGAAUUAUUGCUCCAUUAUACGCUACUCCCCCCUCUCUCACUCCUUCUCUUCUCUGCGAAUCCUUGAUUUCUAUCGACGGCAUCAUGGCCAAGAGCUCCUUCAAGUUGGAACACCCUCUUGAGAGGCGACAGGCUGAAGCUGCUCGAAUCAGGGAGAAAUACCCUGACAGAAUUCCGGUUAUUGUGGAGAAGGCCGAGAGGAGUGACAUACCUGACAUCGACAAGAAAAACUGCAAUGAUGUCUGCAAUUUACGACGAAAAUAAAGAUGAGGAUGGCUUCCUAUACAUGACUUACAGUGGAGAGAACACAUUUGGGUCAUUCUGAAAUUGGAGUCUGGCUGAGUCAUGUAUAUAGUCCUAGAAAACAUGUAAAUUCUCUUUGAUUAUCUAUCUGGUCUUAUCCUUAUCAAGAGAUUGCUGUUGCAAACAAUGUCAACUUCGAUGGUUUUAUGUUAAUCCUAUGGUAACUUCUAAUAUAUUUUCAAGUUUCAGUUUCGUGUGUUAAUAUAGUUCCCUUGCUGCUUCAAUAAACCUCUGCUGGCAGUAAUUAUGUGUUGGGCUCUCCUUAUCCUGUUACUGAAUACGGAUUUAAAGCUAUUAGGCCGCUCUCAUUUCCCUGAUCUCUAGAAUGAUUGCAGUGGUUUCGGCUGUAGAUUUGGACCAAAUCCAUCUACAAAAGGCCGAUGACUCCAUGAACCAGCCGAUUGAUCCCCUCUAUUUCAGGAUUUCGACCAAACAGAUUCCCCACCAAGAAACUGUUUUCCGACAAAAUUAUUGAGCUUUCACCAAACAAAUCUUUAUGCUACUACUGGGUCAAGCAUUUGCCUGUUGGAUUGCCACUUUGUACAUGACAACCGCAUACCAAUUGGACGAACCAAUUAUGUUUUGGUGGCUCUCACAAGCAAUGGUCAACUUCUCAAAAUUACAGUCGAUUUCCGAACUUUCACGGGUCAUAACCACCAACUAUGUUUUUAAUUACUACUUAUUUUUCUGCUAAUGAACUCUAUAGAAUUGGUGCCAAAAUAGGACACGCCGUCUAAAUAUUGUCAGAGACUUGACUAAAACACGAUAUGAAAUUGGUUUUUGUAUCUUCAUUGACAUUUGUACUCCUACUUUCAAUAUAUUCAUCUUCAUUUUUCUUUUUUCUAGUCUUUGAAGCUUAAAUUAACGAGACGUGUACGAAAUCAUAAGAUUUGAUCCCAAGAAAUUGGAUCGUGUGGUUGAGAAAGCAUACACAAUACAUGACGUGAGUUUAGACACAAGUUCUUCUUUCCUAAAUUACGGAGUCCAAUCACAAAAAUUCUUUUGAAUUUCAUAUUUUAAUUUUGAAAAGUAAAUUUUACAACUUAGCUUGAUAGAAACGUAUGUUGCAUAAAGCUAUGUACCUAAUAAGAAAAUGGAUGAUGGUCAAAAUAAAAUGCAAAAACCAACGAUUAUUUGACUGAACUGACACCACCAUUUUCUCAACGUUUUUCCGCUCACCCCAACAUUGUAUUAUUGAAAAAGAAAUUACAGUACGCUGAGCAUUGCAAACUCUUGGUCAAAACAUAAUAAUAAGUGCAUCAAACACGUGUCAAUAGAACCAUUGGUCCUCCAAACAAAAGCGUGUCUUUAUCCACCACACAUAGACAUUGUCCCGCUGCUUGACAAACUUAAAUCCAAAAUGCAAAAAUAUCAUAUUAGAAAUAAAGAAAUCUACAUGCACGUAGUCAUGGCCUCCUUAUAUUGACCUUAGAAUUGUACCGAGUUUCACAUGGAAUAAUUCAAUGCCAUUGCAAUCGGGCAGUUAGCCGUUGCAAGCGUAUAUAUAAAGCAUUCCCACCCGACACAACCAAACAGCUUCGUCUCAAAGAAACAAGUCGCAAAGGAGAAGAUCGAGAGAGAAAACAAACAACGCAGUAACAACACCCAGAGAUCAAGAACAUGGCUAUGCCUUUGUUCAAUAUCUGGGGCUGCUUCUCGGAGCAAUCGGAGAGGAGCAGGUACGUCUGUGAAGGCGAUGUAUGUUAUCUACGUGGUUCAAAGGAAUCACAGAGUUCCAAUUCGAAGAAGAAUGAACACAAAUACAACAUUCGGAUCCCGUUCUAUCGGAUUUCAUCCAGAAAGUCUUCAAGUUGAAUCCCUUCAUGUGGGGUACUUAUAGCUUUGGAGUAAGGCUAAUUUUAUGCUUUUGAUCAAUUAUUGUAUAUUGCUCAUGUGGAGCCUUUUUCUUGCCCGCGCAUCGGGUCAGCCCCUUUGCAUGUUAGCUUAUUAGGGGCAAUAAUCUUUGUGUAGCUGGCUAGUGUAGAUAUCAAAAGAUUAAAGGUCCGGGGAGGGAUUAGAGAAAAACUCGAAUUCUUUAGGUAUUUUAGUGCAUGAUGAUAUCCACCUAGAUGCACGUGAUGGGAUAUCUUGCUUAGACAAUCUUGUUGUUUGAGCUGCAAACCUAGAUGUUCUGUAAGUUUUAAGGUUUUUAUGUUUUAGUGACUGUAAAUUUUCUGUUUAGACCCCCUUUCAGAUGGUAUAAAAGUUUCCCCGUAUCUCGUGGAAAUUCUUUUUUCUCUCUUCUUAUCUUCUGUUUUGGAAUCACGGGCUUAUGACAAAAGUCCAUUCAGAUAUAUUGAGGAUAUUGAAAGCAGAAGCAUGAUUUAACAUCGAAAAGUUUCUGCUCUAUGUGCCUUUUGCCUCUACAAAACUUUCUUCAUGAGAAAAUGCAGUUGACCCGAAUUAACAAAUUGAGUGGUGAUAUGAACUUCUCUAUGCAUACCGCGUCUAGUAAAAGUUGUUUGCGUUUUGCCAUCUUUUCUUUAGCUCUCAGCCACACUUAUUUCGGAAUAGAACCGACAACUAGAUCAACUUUUGAUGUGAAAGGCUGGAAAGUAGGGAUGCAUCUAUCAAAUUCCACUUUAUGAUGGUCCAUACCGGCAUGGCCGGCCGUUGUGCAGAAUUAGCUACACGGGAUCAUGUUGGAUGUUGCAACAGUUAGGUUGGCACAUUUUCCUUUUGCAAUAUCUGUGUGUUUUAAAUGAAAAUAUGAAAAUAAUUUCCCCUUCUUGAACAUCAUCCCUGAUGCGAGUUUGUCGGAAGAAUCAGAAAGCUUCUGAAAGGAAAAUCAAGAGACAUGUAAAGAGGACUGCUUGUUGAGUAUCAUAAGUAAAUUGAGAGAAAGACGAUCAUUUUCAUAAGAGUUGGAGAGCCAAAUCAGGCUGCUGAGGAUCAACCAGGACACCUGAUGGAGGCUUUCGAGGAGACCCUGAUUGGGAACCAAUAUUUAAGUCGGGAGCAAAAUGCAU